GCGGUGGUAGUUCAGUUGGUAGAACGUCUGCCUUCCAAGCAGAAGGUCGCGGGUUCGAAUCCCGUCCACCGCU
This 73-nucleotide transfer RNA is filed under the name Candidatus Parcubacteria bacterium. RNAcentral's name for it is "tRNA-Gly". It matches the Rfam family "tRNA". From Rfam's summary of the family: Transfer RNA (tRNA) molecules are approximately 80 nucleotides in length. The record is from RNAcentral. Lineage: Bacteria; Candidatus Parcubacteria.